AUAUAUAUAUAUAUAAUUGAGCUUCUAUAUUUUUAAAAGUACUAAGUUAUUGGUGCUUGUAGAUUUAAUUUUGACAAUUGGAUUAAAAGAUGUGUGGUUAGAAUGAUGUGAGACUCCUAAUAGGAUUCAGUGGGUGGUUGGUUGAAUAGUAUGAUCUAAUUAACGAAUGAAAAUGAUCAAAAAUAGAGAUUUAACGGUAAAAAAUUUACAAGUACCAAAGACUUGGUGCUUUUAUAAGCACCAUAACCAGUCUCUCUCUCUCUCUCUCACUCUCUAUAAAUAUUGCACACACUAUACUAUAGAUUGUAGGGGAGCUUUGCUUAAUUACCACCUUUUUUUUAAUCCAUGGAUCAAAUAUUAUUCUGCAUUGUUAUUAGUAUUAAGUUAAGUUUUUUUUUUUUUUUUUUUUUUUUUGUCAUAUGAAGUUGGAGUUGAAGUUGAUGUUGGUGGUGGCCAGUUGUGAAGUGGUGUUGCUUGUGGAUCGUAAGAUGUUAGGUUUAUUGUUGGAUCUCUUAUUGUUAGAUCUCUUAUAGAUCACAGCACUAUUCAAUUUAUUAUGCGCAUCCAACUCAAUUUAUUAGUUUUCUGAGCCUAUUGUUACGGGAUAAAAAGUUGGACUUAUUUUAGCCUAAUAAUAAAUAGCUAAACUCUCCCCUCAACACAUGUACUGUUAAUGCAGCAUGUGGGAAUCAAACUCGUACCACUGACUCUGAUAGUACUUGCAGUAGUAAGCGUUAACCAACUAUUUCAAAAGUACGUGCUGAUAGGAAGGAUACAUCCAUUGCACUUACGAGCUCAAUCACAAUGCUCACGAAUUUCGACUUAACUCAAAUUACUCAACCCACAUGAAUGUUAAGUCUAUUUUUGGGUCUCUUGUCGGUAGGUCUCUUGUGGACCGCAAUUCUACUCAACUUAUUAGUCUUCUGAAUCUAUUAUUACGGGACAAAAAGUUGGACCUAUUCUGAUCUAAUAUUAAAUAGCCAACAUUAUUGUGGCAUGC
Molecule: long non-coding RNA, 1000 nt
Filed under: Ananas comosus (pineapple)
Lineage: Eukaryota; Viridiplantae; Streptophyta; Magnoliopsida; Poales; Bromeliaceae
Description: long non-coding RNA (ACOM_LNC030127)
Source: RNAcentral